GAUGAACGCUAGCUACAGGCUUAACACAUGCAAGUCGCGGGGCAGCAUGGGGGUUGCUUGCAAUCCCCGAUGGCGACCGGCGCACGGGUGAGUAACGCGUAUCCAACCUGCCCUUCACCACGGGAUAACCCGGCGAAAGUCGGACUAAUACCGUAUGUUGUCCAUUGACGGCAUCCGAUUUGGACGAAAGGUUUGGCGGUGAAGGAUGGGGAUGCGUCCGAUUAGCUGGACGGCGGGGUGACGGCCCACCGUGGCGACGAUCGGUAGGGGUUCUGAGAGGAAGGUCCCCCACACUGGAACUGAGACACGGUCCAGACUCCUACGGGAGGCAGCAGUGAGGAAUAUUGGUCAAUGGGCGUAAGCCUGAACCAGCCGAGUAGCGUGCAGGAUGACGGCCCUAUGGGUUGUAAACUGCUUUUAUGCGGGGAUAAAGUGGCCCACGUGUGGGUUUUUGCAGGUACCGCAUGAAUAAGGACCGGCUAAUUCCGUG
RNAcentral lists this ribosomal RNA (490 nucleotides) under uncultured bacterium. RNAcentral's name for it is "partial 16S ribosomal RNA". It matches the Rfam family "Bacterial small subunit ribosomal RNA", at positions 28 to 507 of the family's 1533-position model. The record is from RNAcentral.